Molecule: small nucleolar RNA, 139 nt
Filed under: Saimiri boliviensis boliviensis (Bolivian squirrel monkey)
Lineage: Eukaryota; Metazoa; Chordata; Mammalia; Primates; Cebidae
Description: Small nucleolar RNA SNORA67 (ENSSBOG00000018844.1)
Rfam family: Small nucleolar RNA SNORA67
About the family: U67 belongs to the H/ACA class of snoRNAs which are thought to guide the sites of modification of uridines to pseudouridines.
Source: Rfam by way of RNAcentral
AUCCAGGGUGAUUCCUCUCCAAGGGGACAUCCAGUGCCCCUCUCAGGAGAGUGGCAACUUGUAAUAGAAUCUGGCAUGCCUAAGGUCUUUUGGGAACAGGGAUGCUUAUUUCCUCUGCCUUCCUUGGCUGCUUACAUGG